UACUUGAUGUUGAGGAAUUUAAUCGAGUGAGAUAUAUAUAACUAUCCACAACCAAUAUAUGCUGUAUCCAGUUCCAUUAUUUUUGUUAUUUCCUGAGUGGACAUGGUGAGACGUAGUAUACCAAUUACCAAUCAUUUACCAAUGUAGAAUGAAGUAUUUAAAGCGUUAAAGGCUUGUUUGUUGAACUUCCGGUCACAUUCAAAAUCCGGUUUGGAUUUUCCACUCUAGCAAAAAUCUCCUAAACCAUUGAGAACAAACGGAGAACACAUUAUUGCACGGUCGAUAAGAAGGGAAGAACGAAGAGAAUCGCUCCUAGCUAAAUGCAUUUUUACAUGCAUUUCUGUUGCUGCAGCGUCUGAUGGCGGGUGAAUUGUUGAAUUUAUAAAACAAGUUGAAAAUACUCGAAAGGGGGAGAAACAA
This 420-nucleotide unclassified non-coding RNA is filed under the name Athalia rosae (coleseed sawfly). RNAcentral's name for it is "misc RNA ENSAEAG00005012238.1". The record is from RNAcentral. Lineage: Eukaryota; Metazoa; Arthropoda; Insecta; Hymenoptera; Athaliidae.